AUAAUAGAUAAAAACGUUAAUAACACGUCUUGAUCAUUCGACUAGAGUUUCUUAUCAAAAUAACAUAAGUUACUGAGUUAUAGCGCAGUCUAUCUAUAAUCGUAAUAGAAACAAAAUAAUUUAAUAUAUGGCGCCUUUUAUCACAUGCCAACAAAUAAUUUAGUCAGGAGAGUUAAUAUGAAGAAAAUAAAAUACAAUAAGAGACUAAUUGGCCACAGAUUACUGUAGGAUUGUAUAGAUUGUCGUAUAACCAUCUCUAGUCUCUAGUCUCUCCCAGCCACUCCAAUAAGGUCCACCUGGAAGAGAUUUUAACUUUUUUCCCUUUUAAAAUUCGCCUUUCUCUUUUUUCUCCGCCUCUUCGCUUCGGUGCCUCCUCGCGAGGCUUAUCGUUUCGCGUCUUUUCCGACCGCCACUCGAAUUUUUCGGCGCCCCCGUUUUUUUAUUUUCACGAUUUUCAGAAUUCCGUAGAAUGGAAAACGACGCCAAAUAGAGGAGCGAGGCCUCCGCCGCGACGCGUUAUCGCGUUUACCGCGUUCCCGCCUUUUCGUCAUUAUCAGCGCGUCUGACGCCGGUACGUCGUCGUCCGCAUCAACGUCGUUUAUUUUUCGAUAUUUCGUUAUUAUUAUUAGUAGUAGUAAUAAUGACUGUAUUCGUUAAUUAAUGUAAUUUUGUAAAUUUUCUACUUCUAUUGCGAUUAUAUUAAUCGAAACUCGCGAUUGGUAAUUUUACAGCGAUUACGAUUAACGUAGUUUAUUAAUUGUCGAUAUUUUAACAGUCGUGGCGAUUGGGUUUUGUGAUUUUUAGAUGGCGUUUACUCCGGAGUACUGCUUCGAUGAUGGCUCCACCUGUAGGCCGAGAGUGCUGGCUCUAACAAUCUACAACGGAUUUAUUAAACGAGUAACGCGUUUUUAUUCGUUAAAAAAACACAAAAAAAACCUGUGCGUUUGACGUUUUCACAACUAUUACGGCGUUUGUGGCCUCCUGAGGUGGUAUGCUUCGAUAACGACUCGGCCUGUUGGCCCUAAGUGCUGGGGCUCUGAUCAACAACGCAUUUAUUACACGGACUGCUACACUGUUGUGCCAGGAUAUCUGAGCUGUAGAUUGUUGCCAGUCAUCGCUAUUGGAUUUCUGGCACAGAUAGUGUUUGUUGUGUCCGAAGGACUGCUUCAAUAACGGUUUAGUCCGUUAGCCAAGAGCGCUGUCUCUAACUUAUAACGGAUUUAUUACACAAACUGCUGGUGGCUUGGGUGGUAACAACAUUUUCACUUUUUUUUUUACCCACUGUGUGUUAAUCUUGCGUGUCGUUCAUUUUUGUUUAGCCGGUACUUAUCCCUCACUGUUGGAAGGAAACCAAAAAGAUACUAUCACAUUUCAUAUAUACUGCCAUUAUUUUGUUGUCCUCUCUGUGACAUCUAACUGCUGAACACAGCUUGGAAAACACCACUGUUGGCCUUUGGAGUUCAGCGAGAAAACGACUACAGACUUUUCCAUCGAUCAUACUUUAUAGUUAUUGUUAAAUUGUUUAAUUGGAAUAUUUUAACGUAUUGAUUGUUCUUAAGUGGAAAACAUCAAACUUCAUGUUUAUAAUUUUAAUUGUUUUGCAAGUUACAGAAUAAACUCGCCACGCUCAAUUAAUUAUAAUGUUACAUUUUAUUAUAUUUUUAAUUAAUUCGAGCUGUUGGUAUCUCUAAAAGAAAUACCACUAGAGUAUAAAACUAGGAUAUUUUUUAAAUCCCAACAAUAUAUUAAAUACUCCAGUAUUUCUUUUAUUUAUCGGUUUGAUAAUACGGCUUUAAUCAUUUCAUUUACAUUGAGUCUGUAAUUCUAGCAAGUAAUUUAAGGUUUUUAUAUUAUAUUGUAAAUAACAAAGUAGUUCAGUAG
Molecule: long non-coding RNA, 1881 nt
Organism: Daktulosphaira vitifoliae (grape phylloxera)
Lineage: Eukaryota; Metazoa; Arthropoda; Insecta; Hemiptera; Phylloxeridae
Exons: 6
Source: RefSeq, a predicted model, not a curated record